ACUUAAAGGAAUUGACGGAAGGGCACCACCAGGAGUGGAAUCUGCGGCUUAAUUUGACAACGCGGGAAAACUCACCAGGUCAGGACACGGUAAGGAUUGACGGACUGAAGGCUCUUUCUCGAUUCCGUGGAAAGUGGUGCAUGGCCGUUUUUGGUUGGUGGAUCGAUCCGUCUGGUUAAUUCCGUUAACGAACGAGACCUCGGCACUCCGAAUAGCGCGGCGGACGUCGCGGCCUCCGGGCCGUCUUCCGCACGAGCUUCUUAGAGGGACCGUCCCCCGCCGGGGAAGGAGGUGCGAGGCAACGACAGGUCUGUGAUGCCCUUAGAUGUUCUGGGCCGCACGCGCAUUACACUGACGCGUCCAACGGGUGACUCCCGACCCGAAGGGGCCGGGGAAUCCGCAAGGCGCGUCGUGAUGGGGAUUGAACGUUGCAAUUGUUGUUCACGAACGAG
RNAcentral lists this ribosomal RNA (452 nucleotides) under uncultured eukaryote. RNAcentral describes it as "bacterial SSU rRNA". It matches the Rfam family "Eukaryotic small subunit ribosomal RNA", at positions 1142 to 1607 of the family's 1831-position model. The record is from RNAcentral.